This 446-nucleotide ribosomal RNA is filed under the name uncultured bacterium. RNAcentral describes it as "partial 16S ribosomal RNA". It matches the Rfam family "Bacterial small subunit ribosomal RNA", at positions 338 to 795 of the family's 1533-position model. The record is from RNAcentral.
CCUACGGGUGGCAGCAGUCGAGAAUCAUUCACAAUGGGGGAAACCCUGAUGGUGCGACGCCGCGUGGGGGAAUGAAGGUCUUCGGAUUGUAAACCCCUGUCAUGUGGGAGCAAAUUAAAAAGAUAGUACCACAAGAGGAAGAGACGGCUAACUCUGUGCCAACAGCCGCGGUAAUACAGAGGUCUCAAGCGUUGUUCGGAAUCACUGGGCGUAAAGCGUGCGUAGGCUGUUUCGUAAGUCGUGUGUGAAAGGCGCGGGCUCAACCCGCGGACGGCACAUGAUACUGCGAGACUAGAGUAAGGGAGAGGGAACCGGAAUUCGCGGUGUAGCAGUGAAAUGCGUAGAUAUCGAGAGGAACACUCGUGGCGAAGGCGGGUUCCUGGACAUUAACUGACGCUGAGGCACGAAGGCCAGGGGAGCGAAAGGGAUUAGAUACCCCAGUAGUC